Pelobates cultripes (western spadefoot toad) is the source of this 212-nucleotide non-coding RNA. The record is from the annotation of a GenBank genome assembly. Lineage: Eukaryota; Metazoa; Chordata; Amphibia; Anura; Pelobatidae.
AUCACCUGGUUCUAUAACCAGUGUUUGGAGUGUAGUGCAGAUUAGUAUGGCAUUAAUGUAGCGAAUGGGGCAAUUUAUUUUUGUCCCACUAGGUUUAAGGUAUGGGUUAAGGUAUUACAGGCCAAUGCUUUUUAUUGUGGCAAAGUGCUUUAGUGAAUUUAAAAAAAACUAAACUAAAAAAAAAACUCCCAGUGACAUGUAUUAGAUUUUCC